CGUGUAGGCGGCUCAUCAAGUCUGGUGUGAAAUCGCAAGGCUCAACCUUGCAUAUGCGCUGGAAACUGGUGGGCUUGAGUUCUUGAGGGGAAGCUGGAAUUCCAGGUGUAGGGGUGAAAUCUGUAGAUAUCUGGAAGAACACCGGUGGCGAAGGCGAGCUUCUAUCAGAGGACUGACGCUGAGGCGCGAAAGCGUGGGGAGCAAACAGGAUUAGAUACCCUGGUAGUCCACGCUGUAAACGAUGUGCACUAGGCGUGGGGCACGUACGUGCUCUGUGCCGUAGUUAACGUGUUAAGUGCACCGCCUGGGGAGUAUGCUCGCAAGGGUGAA
Molecule: ribosomal RNA, 330 nt
Filed under: uncultured bacterium
Lineage: Bacteria
Description: bacterial SSU rRNA
Rfam family: Bacterial small subunit ribosomal RNA
Source: RNAcentral